RNAcentral lists this ribosomal RNA (468 nucleotides) under uncultured bacterium. RNAcentral describes it as "partial 16S ribosomal RNA". It matches the Rfam family "Bacterial small subunit ribosomal RNA", at positions 28 to 507 of the family's 1533-position model. The record is from RNAcentral.
GACGAACGCUGGCGGCGUGCUUAACACAUGCAAGUCGAACGGAAAGGCCCUGCUUUUGCGGGGUGCUCGAGUGGCGAACGGGUGAGUAACACGUGAGUAACCUGCCCUUGACUUUGGGAUAACUUCAGGAAACUGGGGCUACUACCGGCUAGGAGCUCCUGCUGCAUGGUGGGGGUUGGAACGUUUCGGCGGUUGGGGAUGGACUCGCGGCUUAUCAGCUUGUUGGUGGAGUAGUGGCUUACCAAGGCUUUGACGGGUAGCCGGCCUGAGAGGGUGACCGGCCACAUGGGGACUACGGUACGGACCAGACUCCUACGGGAGACAGCGGUGGGGAAUAUUGCACAAUGGGCGGAAGCCUGAGACGGCAGCGCCGCGUGCGGGAUGACGGCCUGCGGGUUGUAAACCGCUGUCGCCUGUGACGAAGCGGAAGUGACGGUAAUGGGUAAAGAAGCACCGGCUAACUACGUG